CCAGAGAACUUAGCAGAGAUGCUUUGGUGCCUUCGGGAACUCUGAGACAGGUGCUGCAUGGCUGUCGUCAGCUCGUGUUGUGAAAUGUUGGGUUAAGUCCCGCAACGAGCGCAACCCCCUAUCCUUUGUUGCCAGCGAUUCGGUCGGGAACUCAAAGGAGACUGCCGGUGAUAAACCGGAGGAAGGUGGGGAUGACGUCAAGUCAUCAUGGCCCUUACGAGUAGGGCUACACACGUGCUACAAUGGCGCAUACAAAGAGAAGCGACCUCGCGAGAGCAAGCGGACCUCAUAAAGUGCGUCGUAGUCCGGAUUGGAGUCUGCAACUCGACUCCAUGAAGUCGGAAUCGCUAGUAAUCGUAGAUCAGAAUGCUACGGUGAAUACGUUCCCGGGCCUUGUACACACCGCCCGUCACACCAUGGGAGUGGGUUGCAAAAGAAGUAGAUAGCUUAACCUUCGGGAGGGCGUUUACCACUUUGUGAUUCAUGACUGGGGUGAAGUCGUAACAAGGUAGGCGUAGCGAG
Molecule: ribosomal RNA, 522 nt
Filed under: uncultured bacterium
Lineage: Bacteria
Description: bacterial SSU rRNA
Rfam family: Bacterial small subunit ribosomal RNA
Source: RNAcentral